Molecule: transfer RNA, 72 nt
Filed under: Camelus bactrianus (Bactrian camel)
Lineage: Eukaryota; Metazoa; Chordata; Mammalia; Artiodactyla; Camelidae
Also listed under: 2 other names
Rfam family: tRNA
About the family: Transfer RNA (tRNA) molecules are approximately 80 nucleotides in length.
Source: Rfam by way of RNAcentral
GAGGGUAUAGCUCAGUGGUAGAGUGCAUGCUUAACGUGCAUGAGGUCCUGGGUUCAAUCCCCAGUACCUCCA